RNAcentral lists this transfer RNA (88 nucleotides) under Felis catus (domestic cat). It matches the Rfam family "tRNA". From Rfam's summary of the family: Transfer RNA (tRNA) molecules are approximately 80 nucleotides in length. Their secondary structure includes four short double-helical elements and three loops (D, anti-codon, and T loops). RNAcentral also lists the same sequence under 3 other names. The record is from Rfam by way of RNAcentral. Lineage: Eukaryota; Metazoa; Chordata; Mammalia; Carnivora; Felidae.
GCCUGGAUGGCUUACUCAGUUAAGCGUCCGACUUCAGCUCAGGUCAUGAUCUCAUCAUGGUCUGUGGGUUCAAGCCCCACACCAGGCU